Long non-coding RNA from Nothoprocta perdicaria, 764 nucleotides. RefSeq lists it as uncharacterized. The transcript has 2 exons. The record is from RefSeq and is a predicted model, not a curated record. NCBI's taxonomy places the organism in Eukaryota, Metazoa, Chordata, Aves, Tinamiformes, Tinamidae.
AGAAAGCAAGAAAGCAAGAAAGAAGGCACCUGAAUUCUGAACAAGAUAGCAAGAGGAGGCAUUUGAUUCCAAAGAAGAAAACUGUCCACGGCAGGUUGAGGCUACAGGGGCAGACCUGACUGUUUUUCUCUCCAUCCAGCUACGUUACUUUGUGGCCCUCCAAAACCAGCGAUUCCUGUGGAUCAGCGCUCAGAGUGGUAUGUCCAAAUUGCCUCUAAGUUGAUGGCAACAACUAAUAAAUACUAAUUCCUGUCAACAAGUGCAUUGUCAAAUGGGAAUAUCUGUAAUGUAGUCUGACUACUUAAAUCACUCUGCUUAAGGACCAAGGGAAAAAAUUCUAUUGAUGAUCAUCAGAUACGUGUUGUUGUUUCUAGAAAAUGUCUUAUUUCUGGUCUUCAUAUGGAACUGGGUGUAGAAUGGAUUUAAAAGGUAAACUUUUUGAAAAGAAAUGGUUUAGUUUACCCAACCAUGUGUGAGUGAGUACAUCCUCUUGUAAUAACCCAUGUCCUAACAGUUAGCCAGGAAAUGGUUCACAUUCAGUGUUGAGUAGAGGUUUUGUAAAGUACGUAUUUGAGAUUCAGAAUCUGAAACCUUAAAAGCUUUGUUUUGAAGAGUGAUUUUGUCUACUGAUGUUAGCGCUAAAGUAACUGAGUGGGAGAGAGGGAAGAUAUUGUUAACUUCUACACAUUUUCCCAACAGAUCACGUAUCAAAAGUAUAAUUUGUAGGAGGAAUACAAACUGGUGAAAUGUAUCUCUGAUGCUGG